CCUCCCCUGCUCAGUCAACCCCCUGCGUGUGUAAUCCCUGCCAGCUGUCCCCACAAUCUAAUCUCUCUACCACGAUCAGCUGGGACGUUACACGCACGUGUGUGUGUGUGUGUGAGCGCGUAUGUAUGUGCCCAGGGAGGUGGGGGUGGUGUCAAACGGAGAGCAUAAAUUGUAGCCCGAGCGUGUGCGCAGCGCAGUGUGUGUGUGUCCGUGUGUGUGAACCGCUCAUCCCUUGCAUACCUGCUCUUUCCCUCUUCCUCUGGAUAUGUAUACAUAUAUGAUGUGCUUAUAUAUGUAUAUGCGCAUUCUCAGCUUUUCGUUUUGUUGUUUUUUUAAAAACAUUUUUUUAGUGACGCGCACUGCUGGAUUUUCUCAGGCUGAUUUUCUCACGGGGGGAGAACACUCCUCUUUUUUUUGUUGUUGUUGUUGUUUUGGUUUUUAAGCGACUGCGGCAUCCCAGCACCUGAUUUUCCCUUCCUGCAUGCGUGAAAACCUUCCUACCUGCCUACCUCUCCCCUAAACCCCCUCCACCCCACCCCCAAAACAUCUACCCUUGCAAUCCCGCUCUCCAGCCCCCAGGAAGAGGAGCCUCAGCCGGGGCAGAGAGCUUCGGCAGGACACCCCCUGUUCACCCUUGGAUGGAGAAUAGCGAGAACUGACGGAACUAAGAAAACGGGAAAAAAAACGGGAUAUACGCUUCUGUUUUCUCCACUAGAGCGAGAAUGCGAGGAAAAAGAAUGAAGCUAAAGAUAAUUUGCUGCUCAGUGUCAGUAGUUUUGAAGAAACAGACCGUGCUUCUGGGUAAUUGUUGUAUGUGAUCUGAUGCUUGUGGCUGUAACUGAUGUGUUUUGGAAUAUUAUUAUUAUUAUUAUUAUUAUUUGCCUAAAUACGUGUACAUGUUCUCUGUAACAUAUGCAUUUAUUUCAAAUGUCACCGUCCGCUUCAACUCAUUUUAUGUGAUGUGAUUUUAACCGUACUUGUUUUUACUUGCCGUAUAGGUGCGCGUAUGCUGAGAGAGAGUGAGAGAAAUAAAAGACAGAGAGAGAGGUGGGGGGAGAGAGGCAGAGAACAGACUGUCAUAGGGAAGCGCUAGCUUUACAUUGUGAUGCUGGCAGCCGUCUCAUCAUGGCGGUGGACGUGCUGAAUGGACGAGGGGGAGAGCAGUGCAUAGCUUUGCAUCUUCGCACAUCCCUCACGCACAGCUUUGCUGGUCCUCUUUGUUUGGCUGAGAGAGGGAAAAGGUCUGCUGGAAUGAAACAGAAGGCAGGUGCCAGGGCUUCUUGCAGAAUGGGUACAACAAAAGACAUGGCCAGGCGUUACUAAUGGCAAAAAUACACGCGCGCGCUCUUGAUAAUGCGCUGAACGCACGCGGCUGCUCGACUGUCAACACGCUGAUAAACGGAGCCCUUCACCCCGCGCACAAUCCGGACAGCAACGGCAGCGGGAUAAAAAGCGAUAAUACUGUCUGGGGUACAAGAAGAACCUAAAUCGGAAAUUCACAACAUCUAUUGCUCUUAAACCCGAGACUGAUUGAGUUCAGGCCUGCGUCUCUUUGUUAUUCAGCUGCAGCCCUGUAUCAGCGGUCACAAGGAUAUGAUCUAAAAGCCUGAAAAUCGCUGCAGACUUUCCUGUGGCCUGCACUGUUAGGGCGACUGAUAUAAAAGGAGGCAAGAUAAACCUCUAUAUUAGGCUUCUUCAUGCUUCAAGAUUUUUUUCCAAGCAAAUUCGUGAGAGGCACCCUUCGGUUUUAAGAGCAAAAAAGUAAAUCAUAACGUAAACGUCAGCAGGCAUGUGCACUAUUUGGUGUGCUCUAUUUUGAGAGGAGAAUGACACAUGGACAGACUAGACUGCAUCUGUCUUAAACACACACCGCAUCAACGGUCUCAGAGACACGUGCCGUUCCCCUCCCCACCUUGUCUGGGGAUCCCGAGAGGUUUUGGGGUCCCUGGGGAGAGAGAGGCCGAGGUCAGAGAAGGGCCCCUGAGGCGGCAUGAUAUAGACAGACGGGAGGUUGAGCCAUGUGCUGCAUCUUAUUUCCCCCUAAUACGUAGAAGAAAAAAACCCACCCCCAAUAUUAACAAUACACACACGCACAUAGACGGGUUAAUAUCUCUCAUGCUCUAAAACACAAGACCAAUACAUGCACACUAUAUGGCCAUACACACAUGAAGCAAGAAUUGAUUCAGGAUCAUAUAAGGCAUCUUGUAAACACUUGGUCUUAGCACUUAAGGAGGCAGUGCUCUGCUGCAUUGCCAUCAAUUAAAAGGUUUAAUUGAUUGAUGGCUGUGACCUCACUGACACACUGGCCCUUGACAAAUUACCCAAGCUUAAAACCGUUGGAUUGUAAAAUGUAAAAUCGCAUAUACACAGCGUGAAAUGCCUGUUCAUUUUACCUCAUAAAAUGUGGAAGGUUUAAUGUCGUGCACACUGAAAUAAACAAGGGUGGUCUCAAAAUCU
Long non-coding RNA from Puntigrus tetrazona (Sumatra barb), 2457 nucleotides. RefSeq lists it as uncharacterized. Lineage: Eukaryota; Metazoa; Chordata; Actinopteri; Cypriniformes; Cyprinidae. The record is from RefSeq and is a predicted model, not a curated record. The transcript has 2 exons.